UCCAGGUCCUCCGGGUUGCUUGGCAUGGGC
RNAcentral lists this non-coding RNA (30 nucleotides) under Homo sapiens (human). The record is from RNAcentral. Lineage: Eukaryota; Metazoa; Chordata; Mammalia; Primates; Hominidae.